This 258-nucleotide long non-coding RNA is filed under the name Gossypium barbadense (sea-island cotton). RNAcentral's name for it is "long non-coding RNA (GBAR_LNC006632)". The record is from RNAcentral. Lineage: Eukaryota; Viridiplantae; Streptophyta; Magnoliopsida; Malvales; Malvaceae.
UCUAACGUGCAAAUCUGCCAUUUAACAAAAUGGUGCAAAUCCAUUUCACUUUUUUGGGCCAAUGCGCAGACCUUUACUGCUAUAAACAGUGCCGCUUGGCUUUGGGAAUGAUUUUAAACCCCCUUUCCUUCAAACAUAACUUAAUUUCAACCAUUUUUUAAAAAUAGCAACAGCCAUUAACCCCCAAAUGAUAGGGUUUCAUUUGGCUAGCAGACGACGAGCCAAUAUUGGACUAAUGGCCGACGACGUGCGAUCAAC